GAUGAAGAACGUAGUGAAAUGCGAUACUUGGUGUGAAUUGCAGAAUCCCGUGAACCAUCGAGUCUUUGAACGCAAGUUGCGCCCGAAGCCAUUAGGCCGAGGGCACGCCUGCCUGGGCGUCACACGUCGUUGCCCCCCCAUCUACUCCUUCGGGAUUGCGGGGGGCGGAUGAUGGCCUCCCGUGCACCUUGUCGCGCGGUUGGCAUAAAUGCCAAGUCCUCGGCGACGCACGCCACGACAAUCGGUGGUUGCGAAACCUCGGUUGCCCGUCGUGUGCGGUCGUCGCGCAUCGAGGGCUCGAAAAAAUUGUCGGGCUCCGGCUCGGCUUUCAACGCGACCCCAGGUCAGGCGGGGUUACCCGCUGAAUUUAAGCAUAUCAAUAAGCGGAGGA
RNAcentral lists this unclassified non-coding RNA (391 nucleotides) under soil metagenome. RNAcentral describes it as "partial contains 5.8S ribosomal RNA, internal transcribed spacer 2, and large subunit ribosomal RNA". The stretch from base 1 to 122 matches the Rfam family "5.8S ribosomal RNA", at positions 35 to 154 of the family's 154-position model. The record is from RNAcentral.